CUGCUGGGGCCUUUAAAUGCAAAUCCAUUCUUUGGACACUGUCCUGGCCGCAUCAUUUGUGAGUACAAGUCCAUCCUCUGCUGCAUACUACAAACACAAGUUAAGACAGAAGCAAUCAGAAGCCAAACUAAUGCAGGAAAGAGCAACUGGCUAUGCAACCUUAACCUUUCUUAAAGUGUUGGGCAGAUGUCAAAGCUCAGGCUCAGAAUUAGACACUCAUAAUGCUCCCACCACCAUGGCAUUAAGAGCAAUUCAACAACAGAAACUACACUGGGGUAAUCAGCUUUCCCUAACUGCACAACACAUGGGUACACACAGAAUCUAGUUGAAGACCACUGUCCCCAGACUCUGGCAGCCCCAACUGCCUGACCUCAAGAGACUGCCCCUGGAGACAAACAUCUCCUGCACAGCCACACAUGCCCAAAGUCUCUGGAGGAAAAGUUAACAUGCUCACUACUAAAUAGAUUUGCACAGACCACUACUUACCCCUAAAGUUGUGCUAAUACUGAAGGAUGUCACUGGCUUAUCUUAUUUACUCUAUAAUUUUAUGAAAGUAAAAAAAUAAAUUAAGAACUCACUUCUCCAAGAACUCAUACUUGCUCAAAGCUACCUCGAUAAUUUUGCUUUAUCUUCCAUGCAUGGCAUCAAGAAUCUAACCAUUUGCAUUGCCAUUUCAAUGCUCUUCCUUAGACCUGAGAUAACCUCUCCAAACCACACUAGAGAGGUAGCUCUCAGAUGACCUCCUCUUCUGCUCUCCCAGCCCAAGGCUAUGAAAAUAUGAAAAAAAUUUCUACUGGGCUCUAUCAGUCUUCCCUUUGUGUCCUUACACUGGUGUUUCAAUCCUUACCUAAGCUGGUACACCUGAAGACUAAGUUUAGCCCAAAGGGUACUGUCCUAAGAUGCCUUGUGGAGGAGUCCUCCCUCCACACGAGUCCUACAGUGUUAGCCUUAUAUUCCACCUCCCUAAAUUAAAGCUCAUCUUCUUGAGUGCCUCUGUAGCUUCCAAUUCCAGUAGGCACAUUUGCCCCCAAGCAUAUGUCCUCAUCAGUUUUCAGUCUUGACCUCACCAAGUUCCCAUAAUUUGCAAAGCCCUGAGUCAUCUUUAUGCAGCAGAGCAUGGAAGGGAACAGUUUAAUCACAGCAGGUAAGAGUAAAUCAGCAGACAAGCCAUUCCUGGACACAAUAUAUAGAUGGUUAUAGCCGCCCUUCAGAGAAACCUCUUCAAGGUGUUUCAGGAAGUGAAUGAAAUUUGACAGAGGUUUAACAUUGCUGCUUCUACAGGGAACAGCUGUCCAUGUCUAGAAAGAAAGCUGCUUUUCCUUUUUCCACAGGAACUGCUUAUAAAUCUUGUUUAUGCCCACAACUGCAUUCCUGGGUACCUUUGUGACAUCAUCUUCACUGGUGGUUCCACUAGAUAGAUAGUCUGGUGCCAAGGACAGCACUUGUAAUGAUUUUUGUCAAUUUUGAGCCUAUUGUCAGAAAAGACAGCUGUAGGAAGUAGCUGUAGAGUGAGGAUAUGAAUCCACGGCAGAUAUGCCCAUCCCACAGUUUGGAUGCAAGCUCCAGACACAGCAUCUUCUGUGGUCAAUGGCAACUGCCAGAUUUUAAAGGUCUUUCAUAGCCUUUCUCAAAGGCUAAAGGUGUUACCUGCUCCGACUCCCUAAGAGAAGAUAAAAUAUGGACUGUUCCCAGCCAAUUCUAUAUUCACCCAGUCUGAGGGGUAACAACCUCCCAGAGGAACAGCAGCAAGUGACUUAGAGUGGUCAUGUCUCCAGAUGGAAAAGAAGUCAAUAGAAGACACAUGAAAAUGUAGUAGAAAGUGUGCAGGCAGGCAUACAAGACAAGUAUUCCCAGCUACAUUCUUUAAUCAAACAAGCCUCAGGAACAAAUACUUGUAUGUUUUACAUCAGGCCAGACAGAAUUUCUACAGUUGCUCUUAGUAGGUGUAUACCACUAUAUAAUGAUGCAGUGCAAGAGCUUGAACUCUUUUUAUAUUUGUCUAGUACUUGAAAUCAAAUAUGAUAUGCAGCAUUUCCCAAUGCAAAUCUUUUUUUCUUAUGAACUGAUCUCUCUUCUUGAAUCUCAUCAACAGGCAGGAUUGGAAUGUUUCCAAUCAGUAUUUCUGAGAUUGUUGUAUUCUCCAAAGAAUCUCAAAAUAAAACAAUUAAGUUUCAGAAAUCAGUUUUGGAUGCAUGAACAUGUUUUCACAUGUUCUAAAGGUUGAUGUUGGCAUUCAAGCAGCAUUUAUACACCUCAAGGGAUCCCAAAUAUUCAUCACUAAAAUAUGUGAAAAUAUUGAGGUUCACUGUCUCUCCUGAUUUUCUAACAAGUUUUUCCAUUAUACAUUUGCUUAACAGAUACCAAUAUCCAGAAGGAAGCUGUGGUUUAUAUUACAAGUGGGUGUGAGUUGGGAGCAGUCAGCAUACAUAACCAAGCAGCUUUUCAGAUCUCUGCCAAGUAUCUUGCAGGUCCAUCAAGAGAACCACAAACAUACCCAGCACUAUUUGCACAUAGGAACAAAUGUGUGCAUAGACACCAUCUAGAGGUUUCAAUUCUCUCCCUGCAGUUUUUGUAUCCCCGUUUUUCCUUUGGAUUUUUUAUCUGCAGUCCUAAAAGGUUUUUUUGUUUGUGAAGUAUAUUAACUGUUGUCUGCUUUGUGACAGAUACUGGUACAAUAUCCUUUCAUCGAGGUACCGAUUCAGAGCUUCUAUUAAUUUCAGGACUGUAAGACAGCUCCUGAUUUCAAGUUAGUCUAAAUUCGUAUUCCUUACUUUAAUACUCAGAGGAGCACUAGCAGUGAAAGAAAACCUGUCAGACUCAUCCAUUAGAGUUCCAUCCAUUAGAGUUUCAAGAUUAAUUUAUUUCCCCUCUUUUCUAGGCCUAGGAAGAUCAGCAGAGCCAGAGCACCUCUGCAGCACCUCAAAGUGAGAUCCUCUGACUGAAGCCAGCAGGAGGAACAGGAAAAAUAAAGGACACACGUUACCAAGUAGCCUUCAGAAAAACUCAAAAAUUGACAGAGGAUCCCAGACUUCAGUGAAGAGCAGAUCUUUUCAGAAACUGUUAACAGGGGAACAGUCUGAAGAUGACAGUAAGAGCUGCUACCUGAAAAUCAAGUCAUUGAGUAUAUUAAGGAAUCAAAAGGAAGAAGUCCCCACCAGUCUCCAUGGCAGCAUUUUGUAUGGUGGGCUGAGUAAAAACUUGGACACUGCUACUAGCAACAACAUUUUAACAGAUGUACCAGCUUUGAAGAAAGUUGGGGUUUGUUUGGUUUGUUAUUUAAUUUAAAUAAUUUUGCUGUCUUAAUAUCCAGAUAGCUGUUGAUCAGAGCAUUACUGUUCUACUGCUUUCACACAUCAUGGCAGUUUUACUAAUUAGAACCUACAAAUGAAGAGAUAAUGACAGCCUAUGGAGGCAUGCAACAAUUAGUCUUCCCUGCUAAUGCACCCCUCCUCCAAUGAAAUAUGGUAGUAGUUAAAGGCAUCCCUGCUGUUCUAAUCCUUGGCAAGCUACAUUUAUUUUGAAAGUGAAUAAUUAAGUGUCCCCCCCAAACAAUCAUUCUGGUGACAAAUUUGUGACAUUAACUAAAGAGUUAAGGUUAUUUUGACAAAUUCAUGAUGGAGAGCAGCUCAAUGGAACAAGGACAGGUAAUGGAGUCCCAAAUUCAGACACUUUAUUUAAAACAUUUGAACUCCAUUUACUGGACAGCAACUAAAAGCCACCAAUAAGCUUUUAUAUCCAGUGAGCCCAUCACUGCAGAUGUGAUUUCAUGCAAUCCAAGCUGACAUACUUAGCAUAAAAAUAAUAAUAAAAACAAAAUCACAAGAGUUUAAGAGAUGUGGUCCAGAGUGUUGAUGUGAUGCUGUGAGUACUACUAAAAGAGGUUUUGUUUCUGGCUGCUGCUGUUCUCCAUCUGUGACAGAGCUCCCAGGCUAAAUACACAUAUGGUUGUUUCCUAACCCAGUUCUGUCAAGUGGUGCUGGUUAGCCAGACACAGAAAUAUGUAAACAAAGCUGCUGGCAGCAGCUCUGACUGGUAUCGCCCACUUGUUCCUAGGUUUGCCAGUUUUAAAUUCCCUGUAACUUAAUUGUGCUUCAAAAAGAGUCUGAGCAAUAACCAAGGUUAGAAAAGACUCACUUGUUUCCCAUGAUGAUCAUAAUGGAGAAUCUGAUUCAUCACAGAGAACAAGUGAGACUUUUUUCUAACCUUAAUUAUUGCUCUGAUUGGUCAUUUUACUUUUACACGUACAUCUUCAUGUAUGUAUACAUAAAUAUUACUGCUAUAUGGUAUGUUGCACAUGUAUAUACUUCUACAAGGUUAUAAUGUAUAUACUUCUAGUAGGUGUGAUGAGAAAACACACACCUUGUCCAGAGCAGGAAGGGACAUAAGCAGACAUGAAAACACUAAGACACUACCCUUUAUUUCCCUGUGCAGCAAGUGUCAGAAUUAUACAUUUAUCACCUAAAAAGGCCUUUUAACUCAAACCACUCCAAUGGAGAGAACUGUACACACUGGCCCAACAGAGUGAUAACCCCAACUUAGCCACUAUUAGACAAACACACUGGAACAGACCCACACUCUCAAGCAGUGCCCAUAUCUCUCAAGACAAGCCCCACAAAGGUGUGAACAAACAAGUUUAUACCUACCCACCUUGGUUCAACAGCACAAGAAUUUACCAUAGGGGACAGAGCACAAGAAUGCUCUUCCACUAAUUUUGAGUUCAAGGACUUCCUGAGCCAGGUGUGGUUUCUGUGUAUUCACUAACUCACAAUGAAUUUCCUGCCAUGGAAUUUAUCCAGUUUGUUUGAACCUACACCAAGUUUCAGUUUCCAUAUCAUGUUUUGGCUACAAGUCCUACAAUUAAGAAUCUCUUCUUUCCACUAUGCUAUUUUAAAUACUUUUUAAAAAAGUAAAAAUGUAUUACUACAUGUAUGGAUUUUGACAGAUACUUUUGAGGCUUUAAAGGCACUGCUUAAAAGUGAUAAAAACAGCAUCAGAACUUAAUAAACACAAUAAGAUUCAACUUUGUUUUAAAACUGUUUAGCCUGUAGCAAUAGCUUUCAAGUUUGUAUACAGUAAAAGAUUCUAUAGGAUGUGUUAGCAAUUGCCAAGUAGAGCAGUUAUUUCCAAUGUAUGUACAGCACCUAAUACACCUAGGAUUAGAUAAAGGAAACUCCUCCUUCCCAUGGAUCCUAUUGUUCUUUCUUAAAAGCUUGGGACUAGGCAGAGAGGAAGACCACUGAUUUGCUGUCAGAACAUGUUGCCAGAUAUAAUUACAAGCUGAACAGUGAUAUCAAAGACUGACAGAUCCUGAAUAACUUGCUCUCCCUCCUUUUCAUUAGGAAUUCACUAAAGCUAUUUUAAUAGCUUAGAAGGCAUCAAUUUCUUUACACCACUGGUUUCAUCACCAAAGCUGUAAGAGCAUUAGGACAAGUCUGAGAGUUUCAGGAUAUCUGAUAGGUACUGAAAACCAAACCAAUAUCUCCCUGCUUUCCACCAUUUAAGUUGAUUUCUGUGUGGAAAAUGGAGUUGGACUAUUAUAAAGCCACUUGACCUUGCAAAACACAAGCUCUAAAAGCUUUUGGCAGUAGCUCAAAGAAGUUUUCCUUAUUUCCAUAAAUAUUCACUAGUUAGAUUUAUGAACUAUUGUCUGACCAUUACCUACCAGCUCUAUAUUACUUUUCCUGGAUGUGCUUUUAAAUGGAACACUUAGUACAGAGGAUACCCUAUUCUUCCUGCUGCACAUAGCUAAUUUUUGACUUAAAAAAAAAAAGCUACAUUUAGGAGAGUUCUGAUUGCUGUUUCAAAUGGACUCUAUUUUUUGUAUCCUGGAUAAAGCACAGAAACUUGCCUGAAAAGCAAUAAGUAUUAAAAAAAAAGAGAAACAAACAAAAAAGAGAAACAAACCUAAACCAAAACCAAACCAAACCCUCAAAAUACCAAGCCAAAAACAUUCUCUACAAAGAAUCACUACAUCUAUUGGAGUACAUACAAAUUGUCUGUAGAUAAACAUUCUGGGUGGAAAAGCAAUACCUAAACACCAAAUUUCACAACAAAGAAGCCAACUUGAGUCCAGAAAUUUUUCCUUAUUUUCUUUAAAAGAGCAGUAUUUGUAAUUGGCAGAGAAACUAUGUAGUAAUGGUUUCCUAAAAACAGUGAACAACUGCCAGUUAAACAAGAAAAUAAAAUGGAUAUUUUGGGGCUUGGGAUUGAUCUGUCUGUGACCAGCAUAUAUGCCCACAGCCCAAGCAGCCAGUGGUGAAACUCACAUGGGAACUCAUUCAGUGAGAAAUCACUAGGACAUGACAUUUAGCCUGCAGUGGCCAGUCUAUUCUUAAGAAGUAAAAUAUAUUAGUAACCACAGACUAUUACUGCUACUAUGUUUUCAUGAAAUAUAGAACCGUUACUGAGAACCUUGUUUUAUAUUGCCAGUGCAAGUUUGGAAUUUUAUUUUUCUUAAUCUUACAUUAACAAGGCUGAGUUUGAUAAUAUCAUAACCAUAAAACAGAUAUUGAAGGCAUUAUAGAAAGUAACUCAUGAGUGAAGGAAACAUUUUAAUAAAAAACCACAACAGUCAUUUCACAGACAUAUAGAUAAAGUAAUAAGAAAACCUUUGUUAUCUUACAGGUAUUGAAGUGCUCAUAUUGCUUAACAGCUUCCUAAGUAGCUCUUUGGUCCCUGCUGCAGAGAUAAAAAAAACUCAAGUUGUCCAGCAGAUUUCCUACCAGAGAAAAUGUUUAUGGCUUAAAGGGAACAUGGCUCCUUCCAAGGCCUCAUGACUGCAGAGGGCAACAGGUAUCCAGAGAUUUUGUUCUGUAGCAGAUAGCUAAUACAUCCAGAAAAACCAAAAGCCCUUUGUGAGAGGUUUUGAUGAGGACAGGAAGAACACAUGCCUCUAUAUUCUUUAGAUAUGCAUUCAAUACAAUAGUAGUCAUAGAAGUAAACAGUUUUCAUCAUAAAGGUCAAAAUUUACUUUGUUACAAACACAAAGAGGCAGUAUUUCAGAAGUUGCUAAGGCAGACCCCAGCCCAUUCAUUCUAAAGAGGGGCCAAGGGCUUCUUUGUGGACAUGGGAAAGAGUACUGCACAUGUCAAUUCCCACUGAGGGCAUAACAAAGAAAACUAGUAAGUUUUAGAGGAAUGUUAGGUGAAACAAAAAUAAUAAAAAAUAUCCCUAGGACUGAAAUGUGUGUCCUAGGUUAAAAAAGAAAACAAAAACAAAGAAACACUAACCGGCCUCCCUGUCCCCCAAACAUUGCUACCUGCAAUACCAUAAAACUUGGAAAAUCCCUAGUUAUCCUGAAAUUGUUUCCCUGAACAAGAUACCAAACAAGGUGUUCUUGGUAUCACAAGUCCUUAGCAGAGCAGACAAUGUUCUUUUGUGAAUUUUGUGCAUUUUCUGGGGACAAUAAAAAAAAAAAAAAAAAAAAAA
Long non-coding RNA from Passer domesticus (house sparrow), 7428 nucleotides. RefSeq lists it as uncharacterized. The record is from RefSeq and is a predicted model, not a curated record. The transcript has 5 exons. NCBI's taxonomy places the organism in Eukaryota, Metazoa, Chordata, Aves, Passeriformes, Passeridae.